AUAAGGGUAUAUGGCGGAUGCCUUGGCAUUGGUUGCCGAAGAAGGACGUGGCAAGCUGCGAUAAGCUUCGGGUAGUGGCAAACACACGUUUGAUCCGGAGAUUUCCGAAUGGGACAACCUGUUCCGGUUUACCGGGACAUCCUUAGCUGAAUACAUAGGUUAAGGAGGGUAACGGGGAGAAUUGAACCAUCUUAGUACCCCCAGGAAAAGAAAAUAAUAAUGAUUGCCUCAGUAGUGGUGAGCGAACGGGCAAGAGCCUAAACCAGUUUUGCUGUAAGCCGGUGCGCGUUGGCAGAAAUGGUGUUGCGGGUUGCUGUUUGAUUGUAGUACCGUACAGUCGGGAAGUUACAAAACAUAUUUUUAGCCGAACAACUCUGGAAAGUGAGACCAUAGUAGGUGAAAGUCCUGUAGGCAAAAAGGAUAUGUCUUCCUAACGGCACACCCAAGUACCGCGGAGCACGUGGAAUUCCGUGGGAAUCCGGGAGGACCAUCUCCCAAGGCUAAAUACAUACCAAUGACCGAUAGUGGACCAGUACCGUGAGGGAAAGGUGAAAAGUACCCCGGGAGGGGAGUGAAAUAGUACCUGAAACCAUAUACCUACAACCAGUCGAAGUCUCGACAUUGUCGGGAUGACGGCGUACCUUUUGUUUAAUGGCCCAGCGAGUUACUCAUGUGCAGCGAGGUUAAACCUUUUAGAGGUGAAGCCGGAGCGAAAGCGAGUCUGAAUAGGGCGUAUAGUUGCACGUGGUAGACGCGAAGCCGAGUGAUCUAGCCAUGACCAGGAUGAAGUGCCGGUAAAACGGCAUGGAGGUCCGAACCAACUCCUGUUGAAAAAGUAGUGGAUGAGUUGUGGCUAGGGGUGAAAGGCCAAUCAAACUCGGCGAUAGCUCGUUCUCCUCGAAAUAUAUUUAGGUAUAGCCUCAUAUUUACAAUAACGGAGGUAGAGCACUGAAUGGACUAGGGGGCCCACCAGCCUACCAAACCCAAUCAAACUCCGAAUGCCGUUAUUUAAUGUAUGGGAGUCAGGGAACGUGGGAUAAGCUUCGUUUCCGAGAGGGAAACAACCCAGACCAUCAGCUAAGGUCCCCAAAUACAUGUUAAGUGACUAAGGAUGUACGUUUGCCUUAACAGCUAGGAGGUUGGCUUAGAAGCAGCCAUCCUUUAAAGAAAGCGUAAUAGCUCACUAGUUCAGCGGAUGCGCGCCGAAAAUACACGGGACUAAACAUGUUACCGAAGCUAUGGAUUUUCCGACGUAAGUCGGGAGAUGGUAGAGGAGCGUUCUGUAAGCCGUUGAAGGUGUUCUGUAAGGGAUGCUGGAGGUAUCAGAAAUGAGAAUGCUGGGAUGAGUAGCGAUAAUGAAGGUGGAAAACCUUCACACCGAAAAUCUAAGGUUUCCUGGGCAAGGCUCGUCCUCCCAGGGUAAGUCGGGUCCUAAGCCGAGGCCGAAAAGGCGUAGGCGAUGGCAAACAGGUAUAAAAUUCCUGUACCGUUAUCAGUGCGAUGGGGUGACGCAGGAAGCUAUCAUCAGCCCCCUGUUGGUUGGGGGUCUAAGCGUAUAGGAGGAUCACUUAGGCAAAUCCGGGUGGUCAUAACUCUGAAGCGUGAUGGGGAACGGAGUCUUCGGACAAAGGAACUGAUGGAUGCUCGGCUGCCAAGAAAAACCUCUAAGCUUCAGCUGAAUAACGCCCGUACCGCAAUCCGACACAGGUAGAUGAGGCGAGAAGCCUAAGGUGCGCGAGAGAACCGUGAUAAAGGAACUCGGCAAAUUAGCCCCGUAACUUAGGGAGAAGGGGUGCCUGUCGCAAGGCAGGCCGCAGUGAAGAGGCUCAAGCGACUGUUUACCAAAAACACAGCACUCUGCUAAAUCGAAAGAUGACGUAUAGGGUGUGACACGUGCCCGGUGCCGGAAGGUUAACAGGAGAUGUCAUCCCGCUUAGCGGGAGAAGCGUUGAAUCGAAGCCCCGGUAAACGGCGGCCGUAACUAUAACGGUCCUAAGGUAGCGAAAUUCCUUGUCGGGUAAGUUCC
RNAcentral lists this ribosomal RNA (2026 nucleotides) under bioreactor metagenome. RNAcentral describes it as "bacterial LSU rRNA". It matches the Rfam family "Bacterial large subunit ribosomal RNA", at positions 12 to 1984 of the family's 2925-position model. The record is from RNAcentral.